This 422-nucleotide ribosomal RNA is filed under the name Fusobacteriota bacterium. Its description in RNAcentral is "Fusobacteria bacterium partial 16S ribosomal RNA". It matches the Rfam family "Bacterial small subunit ribosomal RNA", at positions 355 to 776 of the family's 1533-position model. Lineage: Bacteria; Fusobacteriati; Fusobacteriota. The record is from RNAcentral.
UGGGGGAUUUUGCACAAUGGGCGCAAGCCUGAUGCAGCGACGCCGCGUGAGGGAUGAAGGCCUUCGGGUUGUAAACCUCUUUCGCUGGGUUGAAAGGCCAUGCUUUGGGUGUGGUUGAUUUGAACUGGUAAAGAAGUACCGGCUAACUACGUGCCAGCAGCCGCGGUAAUACGUAGGGUACUAGCGUUGUCCGGAUUUAUUGGGCGUAAAGGGCUUGUAGGUGGUUUGUCGCGUCUGUCGUGAAAUCCUGUGGCUUAACCAUGGGCUUGCGGUGGGUACGGGCAGGCUUGAGUGCGGUAGGGGAGACUGGAAUUCCUGGUGUAGCGGUGGAAUGCGCAGAUAUCAGGAGGAACACCGGUGGCGAAGGCGGGUCUCUGGGCCGUUACUGACACUGAGAAGCGAAAGCGUGGGGAGCGAACAGG